RNAcentral lists this ribosomal RNA (263 nucleotides) under uncultured Pseudomonas sp. RNAcentral describes it as "partial 16S ribosomal RNA". It matches the Rfam family "Bacterial small subunit ribosomal RNA", at positions 1122 to 1382 of the family's 1533-position model. Lineage: Bacteria; Pseudomonadati; Pseudomonadota; Gammaproteobacteria; Pseudomonadales; Pseudomonadaceae. The record is from RNAcentral.
CACGUUAUAGGUGGGCACUCUAAGGAGACUGCCGGUGACAAACCGGAGGGAAGGUGGGGAUGACGUCAAGUCAUCAUGGCCCUUACGGCCUGGGCUACACACGUGCUACAAUGGUCGGUACAAAGGGUUGCCAAGCCGCGAGGUGGAGCUAAUCCCAUAAAACCGAUCGUAGUCCGGAUCGCAGUCUGCAACUCGACUGCGUGAAGUCGGAAUCGCUAGUAAUCGUGAAUCAGAAUGUCACGGUGAAUACGUUCCCGGGCCUU